UACGUAGGAUGCAAGCGUUGUUCGGAAUUACUGGGCGUAAAGAGUACGUAGGCGGUCUGGCAAGUCUGAUAUUAAAGACUGGAGCUUAACUCCAGGACUGUAUCGGAAACUGCCAAACUAGAGGACAAUAGAGGAAGUCGGAAUUCUCAGUGUAGCGGUGAAAAUGCGUAGAUAUUGGGAAGAACACCAGUGGCGAAAGCGGACUUCUGGGUUGUUACUGACGCUGAGGUACGAAAGCGUGGGGAGCAAACGGG
This 254-nucleotide ribosomal RNA is filed under the name uncultured bacterium. RNAcentral's name for it is "partial 16S ribosomal RNA". It matches the Rfam family "Bacterial small subunit ribosomal RNA", at positions 524 to 776 of the family's 1533-position model. The record is from RNAcentral.